CGGCGGGGAGCCGGUGGGGAUGGCGAAGACUGGUGCGAAGAGUGCUUGGAGUCAGAUAGGGUACCGAUGGGGGUGGCUAAACUCUUAGGCAGAAGAAGGGCGCCAAUUCUCAGGCGAAGUGAAGCCCCUGAAGGAAAGGAGGGGGCUUAAAUAAGCGACAGGGCCUGGCGCAGUUAUGGUGGCAGAUAUCCCUAGGUCAACCAGUGCCCGCCACGUGUCCCACUCAUCGCGGCGUAGGGCUGACCGUUG
This 249-nucleotide long non-coding RNA is filed under the name Elaeis guineensis (African oil palm). RNAcentral's name for it is "long non-coding RNA (EGUI_LNC080054)". Lineage: Eukaryota; Viridiplantae; Streptophyta; Magnoliopsida; Arecales; Arecaceae. The record is from RNAcentral.